Molecule: long non-coding RNA, 1646 nt
Organism: Anser brachyrhynchus (Pink-footed goose)
Lineage: Eukaryota; Metazoa; Chordata; Aves; Anseriformes; Anatidae
Source: Ensembl
AACAAGAUGGCCUCCAGAGGUCCCUUUCAACCCCAACCAUCCCGUGAUUCUGUGAUCUUCUUAUUUCCAAUGUGAGUGUUGGAUCUCUCCCAGCUGAGCGACCACAGGUGUCAGUGCUGAUGACAGGAGACAAGACUUUCAGCAGGUCCUAUCAUUCAAGACAGAGCCAGCUCAAGGCUUCUCCACCAUGAAGAUAUAUGAAAUUUGCAACCCAGAAGCAGCUGUGGGAGGGAGGGAGCUGGGCUGAAAAGUGGGGCUGGAGGAACCCUGCCCCCCUGGGGCAGUGCUGUGUGGCAGGGACCAUGCCUGCUGCUUGAAGGGAUCAGUCUCUCUAUCCUGGUGUCACCACCGUGCUUCAAUCCCAGGGAGAUGCACAGCUGUGGCUGACAUGCACAAUGUGUGAAUGAGCAAAGGCCACUCUCUUCCCUGCUCCUUCUGCUUGCAACACUUAAAUCAGAGAAGCAAUAACAAGCCUCUGUCUCUUAAGAUAAAAGGGAUAUCAGCUUUCACCGGGCUUUUCUCCAGUUGUCAGAAAUCAGGUCAAGGGGCUGGGUUAAACAAUCACUGCCUGGCCUUUCCUUCAAGAAAUGCAUGUUCUCACACAUUCAUCAACUAUGAGACUGGAUAUAAAUACAAACCAAGGGAUAAUUCUAAUGGUUAGUGAGAUUUUUAAUUAACAUCUGGAAAGUAUUUUGAACAAUUUCUCAUGAAAGAUAUGCAACCUAGAGCAGAGAGUGUAGCAGAAAAGCUGAAUUUUAUUCCCCUUCUCUGUCUUGAAUGAGACAUUUUUGUCUCUUGAAACAAGUGGAUGAGAAAACGAAUCCUUAGGCAAUAGAUUUCCACUCAUCGCCAACAGAACAUGUUCAUCUACUAUUAGAUGUACAAAGUACCUGUAUUUUGUUUAUUGGCCCCUUGCAGAAACUGGUCGUGCAUGUCUGGAGUAAAUCACUUGUAAAUCAAACAUAACAAACUAAGAAAGCAAUCUAUAGGGUUUCUUAAAAUAAUCUCUGUUGUAUAUGUGCAAAUAUAUAAACUUUGCAGCUCUUGCAGGGGUGUAGCUGAGGACAGAAUGUUACCCUUUGAGUUUGGGUGGUUUUGUGAAACACAUUUUAAAAAGCCCACAAUAUGCCUCCUAGAGUCAUAAGUCAGCGGUUGGGUGACUGGUUUGAAUUAAGACAACGAACAAAGACAAACGAAACAUAAUCCUGCACGUCUGUACAUUCUGGAGGCUUUCCUCUUCAUUUGGUGUCAGUACUGAACCAAAAGUAUUUAGAGAGGCAAUAUUAUUGAACACAACAAAUAGGAAGCAAAGCAUAAUUUUUGUUAGGGGUAAGUCAUCCCUUAGGCAGAAGCAUUCCAUCGGUCUUACUGCAUUUCACUGCACUGAAUUAUGGUUAAUUUGUGGUCGGAAAAAAUAGAGGCACUGUGGUUACUGCAAAUUAUAUACUGUGUUUCCAGUUUAAAGGGAAACAAAAGGCAUGUGUUGUAAAUAUAAACUUUUUUCUCCAAUUUUAAAAACAAAAAUCCAUUUGGAUGCUUAGUUCAGGCUCUAUUCAGCGUCUAUAGUAACUAUGCUCUUUCAAUGCUCAUUUAGGAAGUAUUUCUCUAGUGGGAAAAUAAAAAUCAGUAUGGUUGAAUAAUUGGCA